CCUAACACAUGCAAGUCGAACGGUAACAGGAAACAGCUUGCUGUUUCGCUGACGAGUGGCGGACGGGUGAGUAAUGUCUGGGAAACUGCCUGAUGGAGGGGGAUAACUACUGGAAACGGUAGCUAAUACCGCAUAACGUCGCAAGACCAAAGAGGGGGACCUUCGGGCCUCUUGCCAUCAGAUGUGCCCAGAUGGGAUUAGCUAGUAGGUGGGGUAACGGCUCACCUAGGCGACGAUCCCUAGCUGGUCUGAGAGGAUGACCAGCCACACUGGAACUGAGACACGGUCCAGACUCCUACGGGAGGCAGCAGUGGGGAAUAUUGCACAAUGGGCGCAAGCCUGAUGCAGCCAUGCCGCGUGUAUGAAGAAGGCCUUCGGGUUGU
This 383-nucleotide ribosomal RNA is filed under the name uncultured bacterium. Its description in RNAcentral is "bacterial SSU rRNA". It matches the Rfam family "Bacterial small subunit ribosomal RNA", at positions 47 to 426 of the family's 1533-position model. The record is from RNAcentral.